ACUGCUCCCAAAGAUGGCGGACGCAUUCGGAGAUGAGCUGUUCAGCGUGUUCGAGGGCGACUCGACCACUGCGGCGGGAACCAAAAAAGACAAGGAAAAGGACAAGGGGAAAUGGAAGGGGCCUCCAGGGUCUGCAGACAAGGCAGGGAAACGUUUUGAUGGUAAAUUACAAUCAGAAUCAACUAAUAAUGGAAAAAAUAAGAGAGAUGUAGAUUUCGAAGGUACAGAUGAACCCAUUUUUGGAAAGAAGCCCAGGAUAGAAGAAUCAAUAACUGAAGACUUAAGUUUGGCAGACCUGAUGCCCAGAGUCAAGGUACAAUCAGUUGAAACUGUUGAAGGGUGCACACAUGAGGCAGAGGUUCGCUGUUGUCCACCAGGCUGGAGUGCGGUGGCGCGAUCUCGGCUUACUGCAACCUCCGCCUCCCGGGUUUAAGCAAUUCUCCUGCCUUAGCCUCCUGGGUAGCUGGGAUUACAGGUGUGUGCCACCAUGCCUGGCUAAUUUUUGUAUUUUUAGUAGAGAUGGGGUUUCACCAUGUUGGCCAGGCUGGUCUCAAACUCCUGACCUCGUGAUCCACCUGCCUCAGCCUACC
This 590-nucleotide small RNA is filed under the name Pongo abelii (Sumatran orangutan). RNAcentral's name for it is "processed transcript". Lineage: Eukaryota; Metazoa; Chordata; Mammalia; Primates; Hominidae. The record is from RNAcentral.